AACUAACGCUGGCGGCGCGUCUUAAACAUGCAAGUCGAACGGUAUCCAUUGAGCUUGCUUAGUGGAGAGAGUGGCGAACGGGUGAGUAACACGUGAAUAAUCUGCCUCCGGGUUGGGGAUAACAGUUCGAAAGGACUGCUAAUACCGAAUAAGAUGGUAGCUACACAAGUAGUAGUCAUUAAAGGUGGGGACCGCAAGGCCUACCACCUGGAGAUGAGUUCGCGGCUGAUUAGCUUGUUGGCGGGGUAAUGGCCCACCAAGGCGACGAUCAGUAGCCGGCCUGAGAGGGUGAACGGCCACAUUGGGACUGAGAUACGGCCCAGACUCCUACGGGAGGCAG
Molecule: ribosomal RNA, 340 nt
Filed under: uncultured Spirochaetota bacterium
Lineage: Bacteria; Pseudomonadati; Spirochaetota
Description: bacterial SSU rRNA
Rfam family: Bacterial small subunit ribosomal RNA
Source: RNAcentral